AUCACCAACCCUUGACAACUAUUUUCUUAUAAGACACAUAAUAUUCGUCCUCUUUAAAUUAAAACCACAACACUCGAUCUCUUCUUCAUAAUCCUCAGCUCCUCACAGCUUAUCAUUAAAUUAAAAUGAAUCAACCCGAUCACAGCACAUCUUCAGCCAUAGUGGAAAAACCUCUACAGGGGCCGUACACAAGUCCUCCGCCUCUUGGUUAUCCGACCAGAGAUGCUAUGUUGGGUGAUCCUAAGGCGGCCGCAGUGGAGACAAAGUAUAAAGGAGAUGGGUUUUGGAAAGGAUGUUGUGCUGCUAUAUGCUGUUGUUGUGUUCUGGACGCAUGCUUCUGAGACUCCGGGGUUUAUGAUUUCAUGCACAUUAUUGCUUAAUAAAAAGAAGUUUGUAGCUGUUUUACUGAAUUACUCUAUGUGGAAUAUACUCUGUGGAUGGUUGUCGUUGUUCUGUUUCAGGUAUAUUAAUAACUGAUUGUAUUAUAUAUCAAAGUGAAUUUGGUUU
This is a long non-coding RNA of Raphanus sativus (radish), 507 nucleotides long. RefSeq lists it as uncharacterized. Lineage: Eukaryota; Viridiplantae; Streptophyta; Magnoliopsida; Brassicales; Brassicaceae. The record is from RefSeq and is a predicted model, not a curated record. The transcript has 3 exons.